ACCCUAUUUCUAUCUCAGGUCCCUUCUAUCUCUUUAGUCCGUCUCACCCUCACUCUCCAAAAAUUUGAACGCCGCUCCACCGUCCAGUUCGAACCCACUCCUCCGUCGAGUCCAUCCACUUCAACACCGCUCAUCAGUCCAGUUCAAGGCAUUCUUCCGGCGACAUACACAGAGACACAAGAGGCCCAAAAUACAUAAUCAGCUGCAACAGCUGCAUGAUUUGCAGGGCCAGGCUCAGCAGAAGUUUCAGUCGGUGAUCUCAACAUUCAUGCUCGUAAGCACUGUAUUCAUUCCCAUCGGAGUUGCUUCCCUUUUUGCUUCUCGAGAUGGUUGUUUAUUUGGAUUUCUGGUGGGUGAAUUUCAGUUUUUAGCUCUUCGGGCACCAACACUAGCAGCUGCACCAUUUGGUUAUAAUCUUUGGAAAACUAAGCAUUGGGGUAUGUGUGUUUUUGCAAGAAAAACUAAAACUUUUUGUUGAGGAUGAAGAUUGGUACUGAUUGGGAGAUGGAUAUACAUUUUUUAUGGUCAUAUUUUUGUUAGAGAUUGCUAUUUGAGAUUACUAUCAACUCAAACAUUUGUUUUUCUUAUGAUUUCUAAGCUUAUAGAUUAAAAAUGUCAGCUUCAAUAACUUGGUAUAUGAUCAAGUACAAGAUUGGGGUAAUGGCAAAUUUAAUGUUUGCUUUCUACAGUUUCUUA
Malus domestica (apple) is the source of this 696-nucleotide non-coding RNA. The record is from RefSeq and is a predicted model, not a curated record. Lineage: Eukaryota; Viridiplantae; Streptophyta; Magnoliopsida; Rosales; Rosaceae.